Molecule: ribosomal RNA, 522 nt
Filed under: uncultured bacterium
Lineage: Bacteria
Description: bacterial SSU rRNA
Rfam family: Bacterial small subunit ribosomal RNA
Source: RNAcentral
UCCAGCGAAUUCGGUAGAGAUACCUUAGUGCCUUCGGGAACGCUGAGACAGGUGCUGCAUGGCUGUCGUCAGCUCGUGUUGUGAAAUGUUGGGUUAAGUCCCGCAACGAGCGCAACCCUUAUCCUUUGUUGCCAGCGGUCCGGCCGGGAACUCAAAGGAGACUGCCAGUGAUAAACUGGAGGAAGGUGGGGAUGACGUCAAGUCAUCAUGGCCCUUACGAGUAGGGCUACACACGUGCUACAAUGGCGCAUACAAAGAGAAGCGACCUCGCGAGAGCAAGCGGACCUCAUAAAGUGCGUCGUAGUCCGGAUUGGAGUCUGCAACUCGACUCCAUGAAGUCGGAAUCGCUAGUAAUCGUAGAUCAGAAUGCUACGGUGAAUACGUUCCCGGGCCUUGUACACACCGCCCGUCACACCAUGGGAGUGGGUUGCAAAAGAAGUAGGUAGCUUAACCUUCGGGAGGGCGCUUACCACUUUGUGAUUCAUGACUGGGGUGAAGUCGUAACAAGGUAGGCGUAGCGAG